GCUCUGCACCUCCCACCCCCUCCCUCCUCCUCCUCCUCCGCCCAGCUCCCCCUCCCUCUGCUGCUCGCAGCCUCGCGGGUGAGGAUCUACUGUACGUGUGAGUUCCUUGAACGAAGUCACACACCCACGGAGGGAAGUAAUCUGGAGGCUGCCGUGCAUCUUGGACAAUUAGAGUCAUGUGAAGAUGUGAACACUGAAGUCACGUGGACUCUCAGGGCUGAAGACGUAGGAAAAGUGUGGGCAGAAGAGGCACAAGACUGAAGUGAUACACUGCUUCUUCUCUAUGACGUGUGGCCUCUUGACUUAAAGUCCAGCUUACUGACUAUGAAGUAAUCAGCUCCCCAUCCUGGAACAGACAAUAAACACCCUCCAAGCCCCGCUUAUGUCUGCUCUUCCCAUCUGCUGGCUGAAUGAAAAGAAUUCAAGGACUUAAGUAUGAGGCAAGCGGAAUCAUGACUUGGAAGGAUCCUAAAGGUCCAUAUGACUAUGUAUGGGAGCAGCGCCCCCAGCAGGGUCUGCCCCAUCUGUGAUUGUAAGCAAUAAAUAUAUGAAUUGUGUCAUAUCAGUGAUAUUUAGCAGUUUGGUAAAUCAGUCAGCCUACUCUGCCAAUACAUCAUCUUGUGGGUGCCUUAGACCUAUAGAUUAAUUAACACAGCCUUACUUUAGGUGCUUGUCAUUUCAAAUCAUCCUUAUCAUUGCCAGUAUAAUUUUUUAUAUCAACUGUUUCAUGGCCGCUUAUUUUUACAUUAUUGUUUUGGAUCACUACCCUAUUAUGACCCUAAGUCCCUCAACAUUUUAAUAUUUGUUUCAUUCCCUUUUUCAUGUUUCCCUCAUCGUGGAGUCCCUGCCUUUUCCUCUCUCUAUAUACAAAUCUCAAUUUUCCUUCCACAUCCUGGUCAAGUUCUGCACUCUUUCUGAGCCUUUUCUGACUCUGCCCGUCCUCUUUUCCUGUGAGGCCCUCCUCUACAAACCCCAGUCCCGUCUCGUAUCACACUGCCCUUCAGUCACACUGUCCUCCCUGACUUAUCCCAAUAGUACACCGAGGUUAUUUCCCUAGUGCUUCUGCAUUCCUUCAUCCAUUUUCCUGAAACUCUGUUAUCCUAAAAACCCUCAUAGUUUUCACCCUUAUUGCAUCAAAUCUCGUAUUAUGCAACAUCUCUCAGAAAAAAAUAUUUCCCUGAUUGCCUUGUUUAAAAUAGUCCUCUCACACCCUGUCACUCAGAAUCCCCCUACUUUGCUUUAAGUUUUUCCCAGUGCUUACAAUCUUACCUGACACAUAUGUCUGUUAGUUUGUUCAUUUUCUAUUCUCUCCCCCAGAAUGUAAGCUUGCCCAGAGCAGGGAACUGGUCUAUUCUGUGCUAUCUACCCAACAUCUAGAUCAGGGCCUGGCAUAUAAUUGGUGCUCAGUGAAGAUCUGUUUAAUAAAGAGAUGAGUGAAUCAAUGAAUCUCUCCUUCUGAAAUCCUGUGUUAAUGAUGAUUAAAACAAAACCCCUUUUGGUACUUUUCACAUGCAUUGCCUCAUUGGAACCUCUCUUUCUUUCUGCCUCCCUAGCUCUCUUUCAGAUAUUUCAUUAUUUAGGGAUGCACACGAUGGGGCUUCAAAUUAAGCUGUUAUGAAAUUACAGUGGCAGAGGAGGAAUCCAUGUAUUUUAACCCUGGACCCUAUAUGAUUGCCACAACAAUAUACACACACCAUCAGAUAGUAUGCAGAUUCAGUCUUAAUUGCAAUGCCUAAGUAUUACCUCUAGUGUUUCCCCAUUAUUUUAAUACGCGCUAUUAUUAUAACUAGAUUGUAAACUGGUUGAAAGAAGAGAUUAUACCUUAACAUAACAGUAAGAGAUCACAUUUUCUCAAAUGUUUCCAUUGAUUUAUUCACUCAUUGAUUUAUUUGUUCGGAAAAUCAAUUCCUCAUGGCUUAACAUAGUAUUAUUUAAAAGUUUUACUUUAAAUAGAACACAAUUCCCUGACUAUAUACAAUAUAUGUUCUACACAUUAAGAACUAUUUUGCAGCCUGUUUAAUUAAAAUACAUAACUAAAUAAUGGCCAUGUUUCAUGCUCUGUGGACAGCUAUAAAAACUCAAAAGUUCUUAUUUCUUCUAUGGCAUAUCUACUUAGUCUGAAGUGAAUAAGGUUUAAAUAAAUUAGUAAAUACAUGACAAAAUGGAAUAUUGUCAUGUCUUCUUUCUUUGAAUGACACAUGCCACAAAAUGCUGCCACCUUUCACACAUUGCAUGGCCUUCAUGUAUAUUUAGCCAUGUUUUUCUUAUGUGAAAUGUUUUCAAAUAGUCAUAAAGCAGUAACAAGAAUAAUUUGACAUCAUGGUAAUGAUUUAUGCUGCAAUUCUUCUUGAACAAAGGAAGCACAGUCUUUCCUCCUUAGCUACAUUAAGUCAUAUAAGCUAUGUGUAGGGUUGGAAUCAAAAUACAGUGCUUGCAUUGAAGCACAAUAGAAAGGCCUUCUAGGGAUUUGCUUGUUUGAGAUUUUCUUGUAUACUUGUACACUCUGCUUUUGGAUUUCAAAAUUGUGUUCUCUUUGAUUCUUAAUGGUGGUUUCUCUAACUAGCUCUUGCUACAAGUGCACUAAUAUGUUUUAGCCAUUUAAGAUGUUUUCUCACCACCUUUUCUAAACGGGAAAAGUGACCAACUAUUUCCUUAGUCUUUGAUUUCAAUUAUUAACUUCACUAGAGAUAUUUCCCACUGAAUCAA
Hipposideros armiger (great roundleaf bat) is the source of this 2706-nucleotide long non-coding RNA. RefSeq lists it as uncharacterized. The record is from RefSeq and is a predicted model, not a curated record. The transcript has 3 exons. Lineage: Eukaryota; Metazoa; Chordata; Mammalia; Chiroptera; Hipposideridae.